RNAcentral lists this ribosomal RNA (579 nucleotides) under Shewanella sp. RNAcentral describes it as "bacterial SSU rRNA". It matches the Rfam family "Bacterial small subunit ribosomal RNA", at positions 347 to 919 of the family's 1533-position model. Lineage: Bacteria; Pseudomonadati; Pseudomonadota; Gammaproteobacteria; Alteromonadales; Shewanellaceae. The record is from RNAcentral.
GAGCGCAGUGGGGAUAUUGCACAAUGGGGGAAACCCUGAUGCAGCCAUGCCGCGUGUGUGAAGAAGGCCUUCGGGUUGUAAAGCACUUUCAGUAGGGAGGAAAGGUAAUAGUUUAAUACGCUAUUACUGUGACGUUACCUACAGAAGAAGGACCGGCUAACUCCGUGCCAGCAGCCGCGGUAAUACGGAGGGUCCGAGCGUUAAUCGGAAUUACUGGGCGUAAAGCGUGCGCAGGCGGUUUGUUAAGCGAGAUGUGAAAGCCCCGGGCUCAACCUGGGAAUUGCAUUUCGAACUGGCGAACUAGAGUCUUGUAGAGGGGGGUAGAAUUCCAGGUGUAGCGGUGAAAUGCGUAGAGAUCUGGAGGAAUACCGGUGGCGAAGGCGGCCCCCUGGACAAAGACUGACGCUCAGGCACGAAAGCGUGGGGAGCAAACAGGAUUAGAUACCCUGGUAGUCCACGCCGUAAACGAUGUCUACUCGGAGUUUGGUGUCUUGAACACUGGGCUCUCAAGCUAACGCAUUAAGUAGACCGCCUGGGGAGUACGGCCGCAAGGUUAAAACUCAAAUGAAUUGACGGGGC